This 496-nucleotide ribosomal RNA is filed under the name uncultured bacterium. Its description in RNAcentral is "partial 16S ribosomal RNA". It matches the Rfam family "Bacterial small subunit ribosomal RNA", at positions 29 to 507 of the family's 1533-position model. The record is from RNAcentral.
AUAAACGCUGGCGGCGUGCCUAAUACAUGCAAGUCGAGCGAACAGAUAAGGAGCUUGCUCCUUUGACGUUAGCGGCGGACGGGUGAGUAACACGUGGGUAACCUACCUAUAAGACUGGGAUAACUUCGGGAAACCGGAGCUAAUACCGGAUAACAUUUGGAACCGCAUGGUUCUAAAGUGAAAGAUGGUUUUGCUAUCACUUAUAGAUGGACCCGCGCCGUAUUAGCUAGUUGGUAAGGUAACGGCUUACCAAGGCGACGAUACGUAGCCGACCUGAGAGGGUGAUCGGCCACACUGGAACUGAGACACGGUCCAGACUCCUACGGGAGGCAGCAGUAGGGAAUCUUCCGCAAUAGGCGAAAGCCUGACGGAGCAACGCCGCGUGAGUGAUGAAGGGUUUCGGCUCGUAAAACUCUGUUAUUAGGGAAGAACAAAUGUGUAAGUAACUGUGCACGUCUUGACGGUACCUAAUCAGAAAGCCACGGCUAACUACGUG